AGGCGGAACUCGCGGCGAUUCCUUUGUUCUUUGUGUCCCCGUGCCACGUCAUUUCCACGCGCCACGCAAAUUGCUCUGGCAAGUGUCAUUCGUCGUGUUUUCAGUCAAAAGCAUAGGAAAAACACCGUUCGAAAGUAGAAAAAUAAAUAUUUUUGCGAAGUUGCUCAACCAAUCUUCAUUUUGGGACUCAAAUUUGAAAGAUAAAUGGUAAGUGGUUAUUUUUAUGUAAAAAGAUAUACGUUUAUAGGCUAAAUACAAAGAAAAAAAGUAUAAUACAAAUUACAAUCUCGGUGCUUGUGAUGUUCUUGCCAAGAAGCAGAUUCCCAUUUCGCUAAAUUAAUGCGGGCCAAACGUAUUGCUUUCCUGUCUUUUACAUUAAUAAGAAAGCAUAGGUGCUGAUUUGAAACACGUCCAUCAGGUUCCAUGCAUGCAGCUUUGCGAUUUGUGAGCAAAAAUUAAAAGUUAAACUAUAUCCUAUGUUUUUAAUACUUUCUGUGCAACUAAUAACCACAUUCACAAAUAUAUUCUCCAGCAAAGAAACGUUUCUUUACGGAUAUUUAAUCCGCAUUUGAAGGCAUGCUUAUGCCUUCAAAGGUCAGAGGUCUUUCACAUGCAGAAUAGCAGAGACUACUGUCAUUGACAUCUUUUGUCACAAAAUUAUGAUGGCAUAUUGGACAGCUAUGUUGGAUAAGGCACUUCCUUAAUAAAUAGCCUGACACAUAAGUUCAUGCAGACUAAGUUUUGUUCAAUUUCAUUUGUUUUGUAGUCGGUAUCUUCAACUGCUUGGAUUAGUGGUGGGCUUGUCUGAUCAUUUCCUGCAGAUAAAUCAGAUUGGCUAGGGUGAAAUGCAAUCAAAUAGGCAUCAGAAUCUUCAGCACAGGUGCCAAUUGAAAGUGGUGUCAAAAUAUUAUCUACAAAUAAUAUUCAAAAUGCUCUGGUGAACUGGAUGGAACUAGUUGGUUGUCACAAUUCCCCCCCCCUGCUGCUUAAUGAGGCCAAAGAAGUUCUCCAGAGGAUCUUGGUUGAGACAUCUUGUCAUGAGAAACUCCAAGGAAUGAUGUUGGUUUAUAAGGUCUUGAAAUGUAAAUACUACAGUGUAAUUACUACUGACAGUGUAAAUACUACUGACAGUGUAAAUACUACUGACAGUGUAAAUACUACAACAGUGAAAUGUAAAUACAACAGUGUAAUUGGGGUUUAAAAAUACAAAGUUUAUUUUAAUAAAUGUUGUUUAUUUUAUUUCACAUUUAUAUACAUUUAAGAACUUAAAUUAUUCAAAAACUAAAUAAAUUAAAUAUGUGUUCAAUGUCAAUGAAUAUUGCUAUAUUCUAAAUUUUUUAUUCCAAAAUAGGCAAUAACUGUUUCCUUUAUAGUUGACCCCACAUGUUGUCAUGAAAAUUAAUACUAAAUAAAAAAAGUAGCCAAUGAUCCAUGUUUCCUCUUACAGUCUUUGCUUUAUAUGAAAAAUUAAAUACUAUGAAUAAUUGCAUUGUUCCUUUUAUUGAUAAAGAGUUUCCCAUUAAAAGAGAAAGUAUUCCCAAUUAAUACUUUGCCUGUUAAAGUGUGCCCACCCCUUGACGAGUAAAAUCGUCUGGCGUUAGACAGAGUAAAAUAAUAAAGUAGGGUGCAUCAGGGCACAUGCAAUGCAACUCAAUGGGUUAACUGGAUCGCCCGGUGUUAGACAGAAUAAUAAAGUUGGGUUAACAAGUAAAAUUGUCUAGCUUUACAGUACAUCUUCCAAGGGGGGCUGGAUUUGGGGAGCAGGCCUACCACUUUGGGGAGGGCUGCUUUUUUGAACCUCAAUUAAACUAUUACAGUAAUCUGACGGCCUGUCUAUAUGGUCUCCGGGUACUAGGGAAAUCUUACCCCCCCCCCCGAGCCACCCUAUUAUAGCAACUGCCAUGCAAGUGUUUGCAUGGAAAGUUUUGAAUUUGUCUUGCCUAGGUGGAUGAUCCAGGUAGUAAGGUCACUCCGUCAGGGGGUACAGCAUCUCUAUUACUCAAGAUUAAUUAAGGCAUUCCAAAUAUAAGAUCAAAUAGUCUCAGGUUUUCCCCAGUCAGAAGAACAAAUUAACAUAGUUGUAAGAAAAAUCUGCAUCUGAUUCAUUGUAAUGAACAAUGUAGUUCAACAGGAA
Paramuricea clavata is the source of this 2134-nucleotide non-coding RNA. The record is from the annotation of a GenBank genome assembly. Lineage: Eukaryota; Metazoa; Cnidaria; Anthozoa; Malacalcyonacea; Plexauridae.